CCUUGCAACAUUUCCAUUACUUUAGCCAUUGGCGGUCGAUCUAAUGGAUUGGUUUGAAUGCACCAAAGGCUCACUGCAAUCAAUUUCUUUGUUAUUUCUUCUUCCUCUUUUGUUCUUUCUUCAUUAAUAUUCAGGUUCAUAGAUUGAUCAAGAUGCUUAUAAAUCCAUGAGGGGAAAUAUGUUUCACUAGUUUGGGACACUUCAACAUUGAUAUUUUUUCUUCCUCCGACCAUUUCAAGAACCAUCAUUCCGUAACUAUAGACAUCGGAUUUAUGAAGGGUGAGACACUUACGUCGCCUCUUGAUGGGUGGUCGUACAUCCACAUAUGGUCGAGCGUUUCCCUCUGUGAAUUGUAAAUGGCUCUCUGCAUAGCUGGAGAUAAAACCCUCCCCUAAGGGACAAUACUUUCCACUGUUGAGAAACUUGAUUGACAUUCUUAAAGACAAGACUUCGAAAACUUCUCUAAAUAUUUUCAAUCUCAUUUUCACUGAUAUUUUCACUUUCAACAAAAUCAUACACAUUGUCCAUGUGAAUAAACACCAAGCCAUAUGCAUUUGUUAAUUUUCCAAUUUGGCAGGUAGUAUUAAAAAGUAUUGUAAAAAAAACCUAUCAAAUUUUAUGUUACGUUUCGAAUGAUAGUUUGUUUAAUCAAUUAUAGAUUCUAUUAGAAAUCAUCAAAUAGAUACUCAUAUAUUCUGCAUGCCCUUAUUUGUAUUUUUCCAUAUUUAUAACUCUCUUAAAUUCACGAACACUACAUGUUUAAUAGAUUUAAAAAAAAAUAGACACAUGUUUAAUGAACAAUUUCCACAAAAAUGUUUAAGUAGGCCGUGGGGGAAGUUCCAAUGAUUGAAGGCUUCCUUGCAACAUUUCUAAUACUCUAGUCAUUGAUGGUCGAUCUAAUGGAUUGGUUUGAAUGCACCAAAGGCUCACUGCAAUCAAUUUCCUUGUUAUUUCUGCUUCCUCUUCUGUUAUUUCUUCAUUAAUAUUCAGGUUCAUAGAUUGAUCAAGAUGCUUAUAAAUCCAUGAGGGGAAAUAUGUUUCACUAGUUUGGGACACUUCGACAUUGAUAUUUUUUCUUCCUCCGACCAUUUCAAGAACCAUCAUUCCGUAACUAUA
This 1116-nucleotide long non-coding RNA is filed under the name Gossypium raimondii (Peruvian cotton). RNAcentral describes it as "long non-coding RNA (GRAI_LNC005308)". The record is from RNAcentral. Lineage: Eukaryota; Viridiplantae; Streptophyta; Magnoliopsida; Malvales; Malvaceae.